GUUUGAUCCUAGCUCAGGACGAACGCUGGCGGCGUGCUUAACACAUGCAAGUCGAACGAUGAAGCCUAGCUUGCUGGGUGGAUUAGUGGCGAACGGGUGAGUAACACGUGAGUAACCUGCCCUUGACUCUGGGAUAAGCACUGGAAACGGUGUCUAAUACCGGAUAUUUCAGCUGGCCGCAUGGUCUGGUUGUGGAAAGAAUUUUGGUCAAGGAUGGACUCGCGGCCUAUCAGGUUGUUGGUGAGGUAAUGGCUCACCAAGCCUACGACGGGUAGCCGGCCUGAGAGGGUGACCGGCCACACUGGGACUGAGACACGGCCCAGACUCUACGGGAGGCAGCAGUGGGGAAUAUUGCACAAUGGGCGAAAGCCUGAUGCAGCAACGCCGCGGAGGGACGACGGCCUUCGGGUUGUAAACCUCUUUUAGUAGGGAAGAAGCGAAAGUGACGGUACCUGCAGAAAAAGCACCGGCUAACUACGUGCCAGCAGCCGCGGUAAUACGUAGGGUGCAAGCGUUGUCCGGAAUUAUUGGGCGUAAAGAGCUCGUAGGCGGUUUGUCGCGUCUGCUGUGAAAACUGGAGGCUCAACCUCCAGCCUGCAGUGGGUACGGGCAGACUAGAGUGCGGUAGGGGAGAUUGGAAUUCCUGGUGUAGCGGUGGAAUGCGCAGAUAUCAGGAGGAACACCGAUGGCGAAGGCAGAUCUCUGGGCCGUAACUGACGCUGAGGAGCGAAAGCAUGGGGAGCGAACAGGAUUAGAUACCCUGGUAGUCCAUGCCGUAAACGUUGGGAACUAGAUGUGGGGGCCAUUCCACGGUCUCCGUGUCGCAGCUAACGCAUUAAGUUCCCCGCCUGGGGAGUACGGCCGCAAGGCUAAAACUCAAAGGAAUUGACGGGGGCCCGCACAAGCGGCGGAGCAUGCGGAUUAAUUCGAUGCAACGCGAAGAACCUUACCAAGGCUUGACAUAUACGAGAACGGGCCAGAAAUGGUCAACUCUUUGGACACUCGUAAACAGGUGGUGCAUGGUUGUCGUCAGCUCGUGUCGUGAGAGUUGGGUUAAGUCCCGCAACGAGCGCAACCCUCGUUCUAUGUUGCCAGCACGUUAUGGUGGGAACUCAUAGGAGACUGCCGGGGUCAACUCGGAGGAAGGUGGGGAUGACGUCAAAUCAUCAUGCCCCUUAUGUCUUGGGCUUCACGCAUGCUACAAUGGCCGGUACAAAGGGCUGCAAUACCGUAAGGUGGAGCGAAUCCCAAAAAGCCGGUCUCAGUUCGGAUUGAGGUCUGCAACUCGACCUCAUGAAGUCGGAGUCGCUAGUAAUCGCAGAUCAGCAACGCUGCGGUGAAUACGUUCCCGGGCCUUGUACACACCGCCCGUCAAGUCAUGAAAGUCGGUAACACCCGAAGCCAGUGGCCUAACCCUUGUGGAAGGAGCUGUCUAAGGUGGGAUCGGUAAUUAGGACUAAGUCGUAACAAGGUAGCCGUACCGGAAGGUGCGGCUGGAUCACCUC
RNAcentral lists this ribosomal RNA (1505 nucleotides) under Agreia bicolorata. Its description in RNAcentral is "partial 16S ribosomal RNA". It matches the Rfam family "Bacterial small subunit ribosomal RNA". The record is from RNAcentral. Lineage: Bacteria; Bacillati; Actinomycetota; Actinomycetes; Micrococcales; Microbacteriaceae.